RNAcentral lists this ribosomal RNA (483 nucleotides) under uncultured bacterium. RNAcentral's name for it is "partial 16S ribosomal RNA". It matches the Rfam family "Bacterial small subunit ribosomal RNA", at positions 28 to 523 of the family's 1533-position model. The record is from RNAcentral.
GACGAACGCUGGCGGCGUGCUUUACACAUGCAAGUCGAACGGUGAAGGUGGAGCUUGCUCCGCCGGAUCAGUGGCGAACGGGUGAGUAACCCGUGGGCAACCUGCCCCCAACUUUGGUAUAACUACUCGAAAGAGUAGCUAAUACCGGAUACGAAGUCUGUAGGCAUCUACGGAUUUGGAAAGUUUUUCGGUCAGGGAUGGGCCCGCGGCCUAUCAGCUUGUUGGUGAGGUAGUGGCUCACCAAGGCGACGACGGGUAGCCGGCCUGAGAGGGCGACCGGCCACACUGGGACUGAGACACGGCCCAGACUCCUACGGGAGGCAGCAGUGGGGAAUAUUGCGCAAUGGGCGAAAGCCUGACGCAGCAACGCCGCGUGCGGGAUGAAGGCCUUCGGGUUGUAAACCGCUUUCAGCAGGGAAGAAGCGAAAGUGACGGUACCUGCAGAAGAAGCACCGGCUAACUACGUGCCAGCCGCCGCGGUAA